CGGUUGCUGCACGACCCGUCAGGUCGGAACGUCCCUGGGGCCAAUACAAUACCUCUUGGGAGCUGUCCCUACCAGGACCGUGGUCCUGGCAUAUGGCGCCCACCUGCACUUGCAGGCCACAGAGGUGACGCUGGGCCAACGAUCGCGGCGGCACCGUC
Molecule: non-coding RNA, 158 nt
Filed under: Alphaproteobacteria bacterium
Lineage: Bacteria; Pseudomonadati; Pseudomonadota; Alphaproteobacteria
Description: 6S RNA
Rfam family: 6S / SsrS RNA
About the family: E. coli 6S RNA was the first non coding RNA to be sequenced, but its function was unknown until recently.
Source: RNAcentral